This 430-nucleotide ribosomal RNA is filed under the name bacterium. RNAcentral describes it as "partial 16S ribosomal RNA". It matches the Rfam family "Bacterial small subunit ribosomal RNA", at positions 355 to 776 of the family's 1533-position model. The record is from RNAcentral.
UGGGGAAUAUUGGACAAUGGGGGGAACCCUGAUCCAGCCAUGCCGCGUGUGUGAAGAAGCCCUUAUGGUUGUAAAGAACUUUAAGCGAGGAGGAGGCUCUCUUGGUUAAUACCCAAGAUGAGUGGACGUUACUCGCAGAAUAAGCACCGGCUAACUCUGUGCCAGCAGCCGCGGUAAUACAGAGGGUGCGAGCGUUAAUCGGAUUUACUGGGCGUAAAGCGUGCGUAGGCGGCUUUUUACGUCGGAUGUGAAAUCCCCGAGCUUAACUUGGGAAUUGACUGCGAUACUGGGAAGCUAGAGCACGCGAGAGGAUGGUAGAAUUCCAGGUGUAGAGGUGAAAUGCGUAGAGAUCUGGAGGAAUACCGAUGGCGAAGGCAGCCAUCUGGCCCAAUCCUGACGCUGAGGUACGAAAGCAUGGGGGGCUGACAGG